Leucoraja erinaceus (little skate) is the source of this 527-nucleotide long non-coding RNA. RefSeq lists it as uncharacterized. Lineage: Eukaryota; Metazoa; Chordata; Chondrichthyes; Rajiformes; Rajidae. The transcript is spliced from 4 exons. The record is from RefSeq and is a predicted model, not a curated record.
CUUAUGAUUACACCGGUGGCUGGAACACUUUCACUGGACACCAUAGUCCUUUGUUUGUUGGAAGCAAAGAUCGUCUUGACUUUCUCUUCUAUAAUACAAAUUAUACUGUUCAUUAUUAUCAAAGCAAAGGUGCACCCGGAAAUAAGUUGCUAAUUGGAAUAGCAACUUAUGGACGAAGCUUUAAACUUACUACUAGUGAUACAAAGGUUGGUGCUACAGCAUCCGGUGCUGGACCGGAAGGCACAAUAACGAAAGCAGCAGGUAUCCUGGCAAAUUAUGAGGUAUGCGACUUUUUGAAUGGAGCAGAAAAACAUUUGAUUGCAGAUCAGAAGGUUCCGUAUGCAGUCAAAGGAGAUGUAUGGUUGGGCUAUAUUGACAAAGACAGUAUUAUUGCCAAAAUUAAAUGGUUGAAGGAGAAAAAGUUUGGAGGAGCUUUUGUGUGGACACUUGAUUUUGAUGAUGCAAAUAACCAUUGUAAACAAGGAGUACAUCCUCUAGUGCAGACGGUGAGAAACGAACUUGUAGGG